RNAcentral lists this long non-coding RNA (4300 nucleotides) under Setaria italica (foxtail millet). RNAcentral's name for it is "long non-coding RNA (SITA_LNC002810)". Lineage: Eukaryota; Viridiplantae; Streptophyta; Magnoliopsida; Poales; Poaceae. The record is from RNAcentral.
UAGUUUCUUGCUUAUUAUCAAGAUAAAGUUUGUCGUGCUGUUAGUUUGAGAUAUCAUCGAUACCCAUGGGAUUGCAGGUUGAGAUUACCAAGAUAAAGUUUGUUGUUCUGUUUGUUUCCAUAAUUUUUUAAAUAAGAUUUUGGCUUAUGUUCAAUCAUCUGCAGGUAGAAGCAGUAAGGGUUAAGCAUAUUCUUCCCCUCCUUGCUGAUCAUAUCACACCCUGCAAAUAAGACAAGAUCCUGUAAGUAUUGCCUCUAAACCUAACUAGAAUGUAAGACCAUGCAUGAUUGGUACCUCGCUUCUCUUGAGACUAGUAAGGAGUAGUCUGCACCUGGUGUCAUCUUGGCUUGCUAUUGCAAUAUGAUUAUUGCUAGGUCCUGUUGAUUAUGCUAUUUUCGCAUCUAAAGAAAUCAAGCAUCAUUUUGUGAGAUUGGUGAUACCUAUUGAUUAAUGCGCACUCUCCUCAUCAUUUUUUUAAUGUCCUGAUAAUCUAUCAGCCAUGGGAUUGUGGGUUGUGUCCCCAAGAACACUGAAUUGCUUGCAUUGCUAUCAUUUAAUCUUGGGAUAUGAAUACCAGUAUGCCCAUUAUAUUCUACUCCUACAUGAAUUGUAUGAUAUGGCAACAUCGCUCUUAUAAAAGCUAAAAGUACCUAUGCACGUGCUCAUAAGUGGGCAUUGCGCGACUCCUGAAGACACCGUUUGAGACCAGAGUGGAGAGGAUUAUGGUGCUCCAAUUUCCGUGUCUCAUGGACCCAAGGCAAUUAAACUCCAAACUGGACCGUCACUUUUUAGUUUGAUACUCCUACGGUCCUACCCAUGUGAACUGCAUGACUUGCGUGAGAUGCAGCAAAAUCUAGGAAAGAUUGGCUUUGAUGUGCUGAUGAGAACAAAGGUACCUUUUGUUUUCCUUUGAAAUCAGGACUCAGGAGCAUAUUCUACAGAGAUAGUUAUGACGCCACGGCAGCAAAAGUUCUUUAAAAGUUCUGAGAUCAUCCAACUUUAGACUGAAUACCUUUUUGAAGGGCAACUUUAGACUCAGAGCAUACUUGGUACUUGCAUUUGUUGGCAUGCUUGUUAUAAACCUCAUCUCUGUUGCAAUCUGGCUGCAUCUACAGUUCUUGUUGAUCAUGCUAUUUUGUGAGGUUAGUGAACAGUGAUAGUCAUGCAAUUGCAGAUUUCUAUACACGGUCCGUUCUUUAUUUUCUUAAUGGCCCUAGUGAUAUACCCAUAAUGCCAUUAUCUAGAUAAAGUUUUUUUCGAAAAGUAUUAUCUAGAUAAAGUUUUGGCCUCUUGGGAUCCUAUUAGUUUUGUUUUCUUUUUACAAUUUUGCAACUUUGGCUAAUGUCCAACCCCGGGUUGCAUGCUGAAAAAUCCUCUUACAAUUUUGCAACUUUGGCAACCCGUGAAUAGUUGCGGCUAGUUCUUGUUGAUCAUGCUAUAUAUUGUGAGGUUAGAAUAGCUUGGUCUUACAUAUUUCUAUACUACGCUCCCUUUAUUUUGUUCAUGAUCCGAUUAAUCUACUCAUAAUGCGAUUAUCUAGAUAAAGCUUGUUGGUUUCCUAUUAUUUUUUUCUUUUUUAUACUUUUGUAAGGUUAUUUAUUUGGCUUCUGUUCAACCCGUGGUUAAUACAAAUUCCCUUUCAUCUAAAGAAAAUCGGUUACUUGCUAAAAAUUUCUGUGGCUAUUCAGUUUUAUGAUGUGAUGCAAACCUAUGAUAGCUUGACCUUGACAGGUUGAUGAAGACAUAGAUGGCUUUUGAAAUUAGAGCCUAUUCUACAGAAAUAGAUAUGCAUCAUUGCCAAAGCACCAAAAGUGAACCAGACUUGAAAAGUCGGCUCAGGAUUUUGGGGGCUUGUUGGAGUCAUCUAUUUCUUGUUUGUGUGUUCCUAUCAUAUUUGUUAUUUUCCCUUUUUUGUAAUGUACUUCCGUAAGACCUUUUUCCUGGCUUCUGUUCAAGUUGUGGGGGUUAGUUAUAUCCUCUUUUCUCUAAAAAGAUCUGAAUGAGUGCUGAUAAUUUCUCUGGACAAUUACUUUUGCUUCUACUUUGUGUACAAGACUACAGGUAGCGAUCAAGGCCUCACCAUAUUCCUUCAGCUUCAUAUAGCCCAUAAAUAGGCAUGAGGCUGUAUUUAAACCUAUGUAAAAUCAGACUUGAUCACUAAUUCAUCUUUUAGCAUUUGUUAAGGAGUUGAUUUUUUUUACGCUUGUUAGUUGUUAAGAAGGUAAUUUGAGGUGUCACAAGCUCUGAACCAAACAUACCUUAGCUACUCACAUCUGGUGUAAUGCUUGCUGUCCAAUCUUGUGUGGCUACAUUGCAAUCUGGUUUGGCUAGUUAUAGAGUAAAAUGUAUGGCUGGUCCUUAAACUAUCCGGCUGUGUCACUUAGGUUCCCAUAAGCUCCCUAAAUUUUGAUCUGGGUGUUAUUUAGGUCCCUAUACUUUCAGAAUGUAGAUCCAGCCAGGGCCUAUGUACUCUCUAAAGUCUUUAUCAUCUCAAUUAAUAGAUAAAAAUUAUUUUUACAUAGAUGUAAUUUGAUUAUAGUAAAAUAAAGUGUGUGGGAAAUAUUGAUGUACUGAAUCCAAAAUGGUUGAUGAUCUUUUACUUUGGAAGCAAUAUCUUAACUUGCUAGGUGUGCAUGACAGGCGUGCUCUAUUAUUGAAAGAUUGUUCAAAUUUAAAUAACUUGUAGUUGCACUUACUAAACUAAAAUUUCUUUUUUUUCUCUGUAAUAUUUCGGUUUGUAUGCCGAAAAUUUCUUAUUUUUUCUUUUUUUUUUGUCAUCUGUAGGUAGAAGUCAUAGGGUUAAGCAUAUCCUUCAACUCCUGGUUGAUCAUAUCACACCCUGCAAAUAAGAUAAGAUCCUGUAAGAUUUGCCUCUAAACCUAACUACAAUAAGACCAUGCAUGGUUGACCACUACUUUAAUUUGCUUCUUUUGACACUAGUAUGGAGUUAGUCGAAUUGGUGACUUCUUGGCUUGCUAUUGCAAUCUGAUUGUGGCUGUGUCUUGUUGAUUAAGCUAUUUUUUACAUCAGAAGAGAUUAAGCAUUUUGUGAGAUAGGUGAUACCUUCUGGAUUAUGUGCAUUCUCCUCAUUUUUCAGCGUCCUGAAUCCUGAUAAUCUAUCCGCCAUGGGUUUGUGGGUUGUGUCCCCACAAACGUUGAAUUGCUUACAUUGCUAUCAUUUGAUCCUGGGAUAUGAAUACCAGUAUGUCCAUCAUAUUCUCUACAUAAAUAGUAUGAUUUGGCAACAUAGAUUAAGGGGGUGUUUGGGAAACACCUGUUAAAGUUUAAUACCUGUCACAUCGGAUGUUUGGAUGUUAAUUAGGAGUACUAAACAUAAGCUAAUUACAAAACUAAUUGCACAGAUGGAGUAUAAUUCGCGAGACGAAUCUAUUAAGCCUAAUUAGUCCAUGAUUUGACAAUGUGGUGCUACAGUAACCAUUUGCUAAUGAUGGAUUAAUUAGGCUUAAUAGAUUCGUCUCGCGAAUUAGCACAGGGUUCUGCAAUUAGUUUUAUAAUUAGCUCAUGUUUAAUCCUCCUAAUUAGCAUCCGAACAUCCGAUGUGACACUGUUAAAGUUUAGCACCUCGUAUCCAAACAGCCCCUAAAAGUACCUAUGCACAUGCACAUAUGUGGCAUUGUGCAACUCCUGAUGGAAGGAAACCAUUUGAGACAAGAGUGGAGACAUAGUAGUGGAGGGUAUUAUACUGCUCUCUGAAAGGAGAGGAAUGUAAGAAUUUUCAACCACAAAGAGUCUACCGUUGCCACAAUAUGCUACAAAAUUAAGGAUGAGUUAAACAACUGGAUGAUGGCGGGCGCCAAGCACAUAUCAUCUCUGUCCGGCCGGAUCUAAUUAAGAGAUGUUUUAGAAUUUUUUUUGUCUAAAUCUUUGGUUAGAGUGUUUAGUUUGUAAUCCUUCCAUCUAGGAGCUCCUUCUUUUUAAUAUAAUUGACAACUCUCCUGCUGGUUCGUUUAAAAAAAGUAUUAUACUGCUCCAGUUUGGUAUGUCAUGGACCCAGGCAAUGAUACUCCAAGCUGGACCGCCACUUUAGUUUGAUACUCCUACGGUCCUACCCAUGUGAACUGCAUGACUUGUGUGAGAUGCAGCAAAUCUAUGAUAGCUUGGCUUUUUGUUUUUGAUAUGCUAAUGAGAACAAAGGUGCCUUGUUUUCCUUUGCAAUCAGGAGCAUAUUCUACAGAGAUAGAUAUGACGCCCCACUGCAGCAAAAGUUCUCUCGUGUUGUUAAAAGUUCUGAGAUCAUCCUACUUUAGACUGAGUACCUUUUUGAAGGGCAUCUUUAGAC